AUAGGAGAGAGAUGCAGGUAAAUAAAAGGUUAGUGCACACACCUUAAACCAUGACGAUAACUACCAUUACUCCACCUGCACAUAUUUGCCCUCAGGUUCAUGUUGGCUGUUUAUAAAAAGAGGAGAUGAAGUCAAAGAACAUCGCUUUCUUUCACUGCAGUGGACGACAUUCAAGCAGAGAGAUACUAUAGAGCAGAGGAACAACUUCACUAUGAUCGCAAAGAUUUGUAUCAUCGUUCUUCUUUUUGUUGCCUGCUGCAAUGCAUGGACAAUAACCUCAACGGCAACAACAACCACAGCUGUUCCAACAACAACCACAACUGCAGCGACAACA
Molecule: long non-coding RNA, 334 nt
Organism: Haplochromis burtoni (Burton's mouthbrooder)
Lineage: Eukaryota; Metazoa; Chordata; Actinopteri; Cichliformes; Cichlidae
Exons: 3
Source: RefSeq, a predicted model, not a curated record